GACGAACGCUGGCGGCGUGCCUAAUACAUGCAAGUCGAACGCUGAAGGAGGAGCUUGCUUCUCUGGAUGAGUUGCGAACGGGUGAGUAACGCGUAGGUAACCUGCCUGGUAGCGGGGGAUAACUAUUGGAAACGAUAGCUAAUACCGCAUAAUAGUAGAUGUUGCAUGACAUUUGCUUAAAAGGUGCAAUUGCAUCACUACCAGAUGGACCUGCGUUGUAUUAGCUAGUUGGUGGGGUAACGGCUCACCAAGGCGACGAUACAUAGCCGACCUGAGAGGGUGAUCGGCCACACUGGGACUGGGACACGGCCCAGACUCCUACGGGAGGCAGCAGUAGGGAAUCUUCGGCAAUGGACGGAAGUCUGACCGAGCAACGCCGCGUGAGUGAAGAAGGUUUUCGGAUCGUAAAGCUCUGUUGUAAGAGAAGAACGAGUGUGAGAGUGGAAAGUUCACACUGUGACGGUAUCUUACCAGAAAGGGACGGCUAACUACGUG
Molecule: ribosomal RNA, 495 nt
Filed under: uncultured bacterium
Lineage: Bacteria
Description: partial 16S ribosomal RNA
Rfam family: Bacterial small subunit ribosomal RNA
Source: RNAcentral